GAUGCCCUGGCUUAUAUACUAAUUUAGCGCCGUAUUUUGCUAUGAAAUUUUACCAUCGUUUUAGUUUAGUGUUCGCAUUUUUAUAGAAAAUCGAAAAGAAGAUCAAAAUGAAUUUAAUGAAAAAAUCCGUUUAUACUAAAUGAGUUAAAAGAGAAUUGAGUGAAAGUAAACACAAUACUUGAUUGUAACGCAAUCUUAAAAGCUGGGAUCAGCUACACAUACAAAAUGUUUGGAAAUUUUAGAUGUACCCACUGCUGAUGUUGAACUACCCAAUGUCGACACUCAUGGCGAGUUCAUCAAUGUCAUUACUGGCGUACACACCGGUUCAGAUGACAUUGGUUCUGGUGAUCCUAUAGGACGCGAUGUUUAUGGACCGUCAAGGGACACAUCGGCAUCUACAGACAAGGUGCUACUAAGUAUUGUAUUCUUCUGGUUUUCGAUUUAUUUACUUUUCCGUUGUUUCGUUUUUUGAGGGAAUAACAGUCAAUCUUCUAGGAACUACUAGCAGUUAAGAUAUAAAGUUAAUUCGUCUGAUGUAACUUUUCCAGGACGCGAUGAUUAUGGAGCGUCACGGGAAACAUCGACAUUCACAGACAAGGUGCUACUAAGUAUUGGAGUUUCAUAGUACACUCAUUACAUAUAACUGCUAUCCUCAUAAUAAUUGAUGAAGUGUCAUAAGACACUUCUGCAUUCACUACACAUUUUAUACACAAGACGUCUUUUAAUUUUGCUGGGAAUUCGUUCUGGAUCAUUGAGCGCGUUUAAUUGUUCUGCCAACUUCUACCAUAGCGCCGGAUGAGUCGGGUAGUUUACACUAAACGGUUGGACUUAGAACAGCAUUCUAACUGGAUGCUGCUGCUGCUGGUUUACUUCGUUGCCAACGUUGGCAAAUUGUACAGCCCCACUAUCAAACACUAGCCGUCGUUGAUUAUGUGAGCAAUAGUUGUUGUUGCUUGUGCUGCUCGGCUAAACAUUUUUAGCCAUUCACUCGCUUGAUUUUAACUAUCAUGUGUGAUCGCGCGCGUAAUUAAUCUUUAACACUAGGAUUUUAUAAUGAGGCUUGUGUUUGUUUACUGUUUUAUAUAAAAUCACAAAUUUAGAGUAUUGUUCUGUUACAGUUUUGUUAAUUAUAAUAAUUACUUUCGUACAUAUCUACGCUUUUAGUUACAAUUACAAUUUGGUAGUCGCCAAUAAACGCUAUUUAAAUUGCAUUGUUAUUGUUGCUUGUUGUAUUUUAUCACUGCUAAAGCUUUUAUGUUUUUCACAACAAUUAUUUCGCUGGCCUAAACUUUUUCACUUCACUUGCUGCUAUGUCUUUCGAUAAGGCUGGCACGUCGAUGCCCCCUUUUUACUUUUGUUACUCAGGGACCGCUAUCGAAAAUACUUUUUCACUUCACUUGCUGUUACUUAUGUCUUUCGAUAAGGCUGGCACGUCGAUGCCUCCUUUUUACUUUUGUUAUUCAGGGACCGCUAUCGAAAAUACUUUUUCAACCGGGCGCCAGUUUUCCUACCGGACCGACUGAAUUUGCUCGGGCGCCAGUUAUGUA
Bactrocera neohumeralis is the source of this 1547-nucleotide long non-coding RNA. RefSeq lists it as uncharacterized. The record is from RefSeq and is a predicted model, not a curated record. The transcript has 4 exons. NCBI's taxonomy places the organism in Eukaryota, Metazoa, Arthropoda, Insecta, Diptera, Tephritidae.